UGGGGAAUAUUGGACAAUGGGCGAAAGCCUGAUCCAGCCAUGCCGCGUGUGUGAAGAAGGUCUUCGGAAUGUAAAGCACUUUAAGUUGGGAGGAAGGGCAGUAAGCGAAUACCUUGCUGUUUUGACGUUACCGACAGAAUAAGCACCGGCUAACUCUGUGCCAGCAGCCGCGGUAAUACAGAGGGUGCAAGCGUUAAUCGGAAUUACUGGGCGUAAAGCGCGCGUAGGUGGUUCGUUAAGUUGAAUGUGAAAGCCCCGGGCUCAACCUGGGAACUGCAUCCAAAACUGGCGAGCUAGAGUAGGGCAGAGGGUGGUGGAAUUUCCUGUGUAGCGGUGAAAUGCGUAGAUAUAGGAAGGAACACCAGUGGCGAAGGCGACCACCUGGGCUCAUACUGACACUGAGGUGCGAAAGCGUGGGGAGCAAACAGG
RNAcentral lists this ribosomal RNA (429 nucleotides) under Pseudomonadota bacterium. RNAcentral's name for it is "Proteobacteria bacterium partial 16S ribosomal RNA". It matches the Rfam family "Bacterial small subunit ribosomal RNA", at positions 355 to 776 of the family's 1533-position model. The record is from RNAcentral. Lineage: Bacteria; Pseudomonadati; Pseudomonadota.